AGAGGAUGAGAUAGACAAAUCCA
RNAcentral lists this non-coding RNA (23 nucleotides) under Arabidopsis thaliana (thale cress). Lineage: Eukaryota; Viridiplantae; Streptophyta; Magnoliopsida; Brassicales; Brassicaceae. The record is from RNAcentral.